This 436-nucleotide ribosomal RNA is filed under the name uncultured bacterium. Its description in RNAcentral is "bacterial SSU rRNA". It matches the Rfam family "Bacterial small subunit ribosomal RNA", at positions 954 to 1392 of the family's 1533-position model. The record is from RNAcentral.
GCAAAACGCGAAGAACCUUACCAGGCCUUGACAUGCAGAGAACUUUCCAGAGAUGGAUUGGUGCCUUCGGGAACUCUGACACAGGUGCUGCAUGGCUGUCGUCAGCUCGUGUCGUGAGAUGUUGGGUUAAGUCCCGUAACGAGCGCAACCCUUGUCCUUAGUUACCAGCACGUCAUGGUGGGCACUCUAAGGAGACUGCCGGUGACAACCGGAGGAAGGUGGGGAUGACGUCAAGUCGUCAUGGCCUUACGGCCUGGGCUACACACGUGCUACAAUGGUCGGUACAGAGGGUUGCCAAGCCGCGAGGUGGAGCUAAUCUCACAAAACCGAUCGUAGUCCGGAUCGCAGUCUGCAACUCGACUGCGUGAAGUCGGAAUCGCUAGUAAUCGCGAAUCAGAAUGUCGCGGUGAAUACGUUCCGGGUCUUGUACACACCG